This 474-nucleotide ribosomal RNA is filed under the name uncultured organism. RNAcentral describes it as "partial 16S ribosomal RNA". It matches the Rfam family "Bacterial small subunit ribosomal RNA", at positions 332 to 797 of the family's 1533-position model. The record is from RNAcentral.
UACACUCCUGCGGGAGGCAGCAGUGGGGAAUAUUGCACAAUGGGCGCAAGCCUGAUGCAGCCAUGCCGCGUGUAUGAAGAAGGCCUUCGGGUUGUAAAGUACUUUCAGCGGGGAGGAAGGCGAUAAGGUUAAUAACCUUGUCGAUUGACGUUACCCGCAGAAGAAGCACCGGCUAACUCCGUGCCAGCAGCCGCGGUAAUACGGAGGGUGCAAGCGUUAAUCGGAAUUACUGGGCGUAAAGCGCACGCAGGCGGUCUGUCAAGUCGGAUGUGAAAUCCCCGGGCUCAACCUGGGAACUGCAUUCGAAACUGGCAGGCUAGAGUCUUGUAGAGGGGGGUAGAAUUCCAGGUGUAGCGGUGAAAUGCGUAGAGAUCUGGAGGAAUACCGGUGGCGAAGGCGGCCCCCUGGACAAAGACUGACGCUCAGGUGCGAAAGCGUGGGGAGCAAACAGGAUUAGAUACCCCUGUAGUCCCA